AUCCUAGAUCUGGGGAGUUUCUGUAGGCACUUUAUUUUUCCACUUUCAAAAGCUUGGGCUGGGGCCAACUCAGGCAGCCCACUCCUGUUUCUAUUUCUAAUUUAACUCUAUGGCUUGAGUCUCAGCGCUGAAAACCAAAUCCAU
This is a long non-coding RNA of Neotoma lepida (desert woodrat), 144 nucleotides long. It matches the Rfam family "HOX antisense intergenic RNA myeloid 1 conserved region 5". The record is from Rfam. NCBI's taxonomy places the organism in Eukaryota, Metazoa, Chordata, Mammalia, Rodentia, Cricetidae.